GAUGAACGCUGGCGGCGUGCCUAAUACAUGCAAGUCGAGCGAACAGACGAGGAGCUUGCUCCUCUGACGUUAGCGGCGGACGGGUGAGUAACACGUGGAUAACCUACCUAUAAGACUGGGAUAACUUCGGGAAACCGGAGCUAAUACCGGAUAAUAUAUUGAACCGCAUGGUUCAAUAGUGAAAGACGGUUUUGCUGUCUCGUAUAGAUGGAUCCGCGCCGCAUUAGGUAGUUGGUAAGGUAACGGCUUACCAAGGCAACGAGGCGUAGCCGACCUGAGAGGGUGAUCGGCCACCCUGGAACUGAGACACGGUCCAGACUCCUACGGGAGGCAGCAGUAGGGAAUCUUACGCAAUGGGCGAAAGCAUGACGGAGCAACGCCGCGUGAGUGAUGAAGGUCUUCGGAUCGUAAAACUCUGUUAUUAGGGAAGAACAAAUGUGUAAGUAAAUAUGCCCGUCUUGACGGUAACUAAUCAGAAAGCCACGGCUAACUACGUG
RNAcentral lists this ribosomal RNA (497 nucleotides) under uncultured bacterium. RNAcentral's name for it is "partial 16S ribosomal RNA". It matches the Rfam family "Bacterial small subunit ribosomal RNA", at positions 28 to 507 of the family's 1533-position model. The record is from RNAcentral.